Molecule: long non-coding RNA, 261 nt
Organism: Capra hircus (goat)
Lineage: Eukaryota; Metazoa; Chordata; Mammalia; Artiodactyla; Bovidae
Exons: 2
Source: RefSeq, a predicted model, not a curated record
AUAUAAUUAAAGUUCCUGUAAAUAGAUUUACUAACCAUCAAACUUGCCACCUUCCUUCAUCAAGUUUUUAAAGAUGAAGUACAUUUUGUGUGCUGAAGAGAUCCCUAAGAGCUUUGGCUGGAAGUCUCAAACCUCUCGGAUGUCUGCUGUGCUUUCUUUCUCCUGCUGUGCCCUUUCCUUUAGCUUCAGUAAGGCCUUGCACGAGCAUACCCUGUGGAGUCUUGGGAAGCAUUCUAUGAUCUGGCCUGUGUCAUUGUUGAA